GCAUAUUUCCUGAGUUUUCAGAUGCCAAAAAACCACCACUAAAUGGAAGACAUUAACUACUUGACAGUCAUGAGCACAUAGUCCCCAGAUUUCUAAAGAUUGAUCACCAUCAACCAAUCAGAGAAUUGUGCACCAGUGGAUCACAUAUCCUGGGAUGCCCCUCCCUCACCUGGCCUUUAAAAAGUUUUGCUGAAACCUUUCAAGGAAUUCGGGGUUUUUCUGAGCACAAGUCGUCUCUUCUCCUUGCUGGGCCCUGCAACAAAACUUUCUCUGCUCCAAACGCCAAAGUUUCUAUAUUGUUGGGCCUCACUGUGCAUAGAGCACAGAUCCUUUAUUGAUUGUCACCCCCCUAAUUCAGGAAAAUGACAGUCAAGGAUCCUUAGCUGAAAUAACAGAGGUUCUAACUAUCUUAUCAUAAUUGUGCUACUUGUAUUUUAUUAGUAAAAAAAAAAAAUCAAUUUUGUAUGUCUAAUUUAAUUCUGAUUGGAGGAAGGAAAUUCUAUGAACAUAUGUAGGAAAAAAUUUAAGUUUUAGCUGCUAAAACAAUUCCAAGUAAAAAUAAAUCAGGGCAUAGUUUGAUCACACAGGUAUUCAGAGAGCUGAUUCAGUCCCAGUACACAUGAGCUGGAAAAAGUUGAGUAAACUGCUCAGGAAAGGGAGUUUCAAGUGCUCAGCCACACAGAAACAGCACUGAGACUGAGCAACUGGGCCUAAACCAAGAUCCAGGAGCCUCUCUCUUGGCCUCCAUUGUCUCAACUGCAAAAUCGGGCUAUCACCGAAUCCAAAAACACAGAUAUCAAUCAACUCUUUCGUAAAAUCUGUUCAAAAGAUUGCAUUUAUGAUUCCAAGAUACCUGUCCAUGAAAUCCGCUGCAGGGGAAUGAGGGAGAGAAAAGGAAAGGGAUCUCUGUCAUGUAAGAGGUGGAAGCGUUUUGGGGAAUAGCUCUGGGGGAGGGCUGCCUGGGCUCGAAUCUUGGCACAGCCACUCGCUGGACGUGUGACAGGUCAAGGAGAUCAAUUAUCUUCCUCUGCACCUCAGCUGCAGCAUCUAUAAGACCUCAUGGGGGUUGGCAUAUAGACAGUGUUAGAAUGGAAUGUGGCAGGCGAUAAGUAUUCAGCAGGUAUUAUUUACAUUUAUUCUUCUUUUUCAUACUUUCUACACAGAUAGACUUAACCCAAGGAAACAUUCAAGGUGGACCAGAAGGAAGGAUCAGGCAAAUAGUGUUAUCUAGAUGAUAAAAUGCUGGUUAUAUCUAAGGAGUAUUUCGAUGAGCAAUAAUCAAUAUUUGACACCCCGGGUGGUGCAGACACUGUCCUUCUAGGUGGAUAGUAAGAUGUCAUUCCUCUGCUCAUUCUGCAGAUGAGGAAAGUGACAUUAGAGUAAGUUGUCCAAACCCAUAGGUAACAGAACCCCAAUUCAAUCACAAGUUCAUCCACGCUUCCAAGUCCUGAGGUUACUGUCCUAGAGUGGCCUGGGGCUCUUCUCUGCACGCCUGGGCUGGUGGGCCCUCUGCUGGGCACUUUCCUUUCCACAGCGUCUCCAGGCCUCAGGACCCUUCAGAAUGGGCCCCACCACCUCCAUUCCUGGUCCCAAAGAGUCAAACCAAGCCUUCUGCUUUAUGCCACCCAGUGCUCACCGGCCACAGGGAGGUGGGACGCAUCUGAAAUUUUUCAGAGUAGGAGUUGAGAUGACAUUGCUGACAACACUCGGAUAUAUUUAUUUCCAGCCAUGCCAACUGGCACUCUGGCUCCUCGUUGUGAAUAAUGAGCCUCAUUCAAGUUGGAAGGAUGACUCAUGGCCUGUCAGUGCUAACUAGUGAGGCUUGCUGACUGCAGCCUGAAGCGCUUGGGGGUGUCCGGGGACCCUCUCUUAUAAGUGCCAGGGGGACUCCUACCCUCGCCUCUGGGCCUGAACAUGGCUCAUGGCUCAGGGCUUAGAGUGCCCUACGCCACUUCCCCCUCCGCCCUGCCCACUGUGAGAAGGCAAUACAAGGAGAGAUGCAUACAUGGCCUAAUUAUCCUAACUAAUGGCCUGUCACAGCAGGAGAGACCAUGAAAUCUUUACCUGGGGGAGUGCCAGGCUUGCAUAUUUAUUGUUAAUUACAACAUCGCAUAAAGUUACAAGAGGCUGGAAUUUGCCUUGCUGUGACAUUUAGGAAUCCCAAAUCCCCUUGUAUUUUGUUUAUUUUGGGUGAGUCUUCUUAUUAGGCAUGCUCUCCAGCAGAGCUGACCAUUUGUGGUCACCACACAUCUCAUGUUUGCUUGGCUGCAGCAAGAAGCAGUCUGUUGCAAUCAGUGGUCAUUUGUAUCUGCUUGGAAGAUUCAUAGGGAGUGGCUGUUAUAGCAGAAAACAAGUUUCUAAGAUGAAGUUGCAGGGCUCAGCUCUGCAACCAACCUGCUUGCAAGUAUGUAUGGUCCCUUUACUUCUCUGGUCCUCACUUUUCAAAUGUGGUUUUUUUUAAUUAUGGGUGACUUAGGUGAUUCCUAAGGAUUUUGAGAUAAUCAAGUCUAUCCUUUGGUGUAGAAACAUCCACACCUGAGCCUUGCCAAGGGGAAACUAUUCAGUUUAUUUUUAAGAUUUUAUUAAUUUUUUUCUUUUUUCAGCUGUACCUGUAGCAUAAGGAAUUUCCCAGGGUAGGGGUCAAAUUAGAACUGCAGCUGCCAGUCUACGCCACACCCAUAGCCACAGCCACAGCCACAGCAACGCUGGAUCCUUAACCUACUCACCAAGGUCAGGGAUCAAACCUGCAUCCUUAUGGACACUAUGUCAAGUUCUUAACUGGCUGAGCCACAACAGGAACUCCACUAUUCAGUUUAAAAUCCUGCAGAGAGAAAUGUUUUCUGGCCUCUCCCUUCUUCUCCCAUGGUCCCAGUUCCUGAAAUAGACACGUUUUCCUAGAAGCAGGGUGCUUUCUUGGGCAUGGUCUUCUUGGCACCCUUUCUACAGCAUUAGCUGUGUUCUCCUAAAGCCUGAGCCUAUUAUCAUAAACCCAUCCUGCUCUUCCUCUCCUAUUAGAGCUUCUGGGACUGUGGAAUUAGAUAACCAGGGGCAGAAGAAUUGUCCCACUCCUGCAUAGAAAACCUGACCCUUAGAGGUAGGAGAAAAAGUCAGGGAAAUUGUUUCUCCACCUCUCCUCCCAGGCUAAACCCCAUGUGUGCUGCAGGGGAUGCCGUAAAAAGUGAGUAAGAUCAAAGACUUUGGAAACAUAUGGACAAAGUUUCAGUUCCCAGCCCCACCCUUUCUACUUGUGUGUUAUUAGAUGAACACUCUCUCCAAGUUCUAUAUCCUUGUCAGUGGAAUAAGGAUGGAAAUAUCUGCCUGGCAGGGUUUGAAGAAUAACUGAGAAGAACACAAAUAAAGGGCCUACGAUCACUCAGACAUUUCUAAGAAAUUAUCAGAACCAAAAUCUAAGUCCCCUGAUUACAAACCAGGUCCCUUUUUCUGCAUUUUGAAGGUAGGAUGGACCCUUCCUUUCAAAUGAGGGUCUCCCACCUCUUCUGCCCCCAUCUUUACUUCCUACUCAGAGGGGGUGCUGUCUGGACUCCCAGAAAUACAGGCCCAUUUGAGGAUCCCAAGCGUGAUUUUGAAGGGCACUAUUUAAGGUGAAUCCUGACUGCAGGUGGGGCAUUCUGGGGCAGGCAGGUUGUCAGUAGUUUGAAAAUCCAGGGAGGCCCUGGAAAUGGAAGAUCGUGGUACACUCCGGGGAGCAGAAAGGGGAAUGGUGCUAUUCUGUUUGCACAAAGACCUGCAGGGCCAUCCUGACUCUGAGAGAAAUGCCAUGUCACCUAGAGACCAGAUAACACUCAUUCACCACCCCAGUCUCUCAACGAUGGAAACCAGCAGCCCUCUAAAACGUUUCACUAGGAGUUCCUGUUGCGGCAGAGAGGAAAUGAAUCUGACUAGUAUCCAUGAGGGUGCGGGUUUGAUCCCUGGCCUCUCUCAAUGGUCAGGGAUCUGGCGUUGCUGUGAGAUGUGGUGUAGGUCGCAGAUGAUGCUCAGAUCCUGUGUUGCUGUGGCUGUGGUGUAGGCCAGCAGCUGUAGCUCCUAUUCAACCCCUAUCCUGGAAACUUGCUGGUACAGUCCUAAAAAACAAAAACAAAACAGAGCAAGUUUCAUUUGGCCCACACAGUGGUUUUGAAAAUUCAUAUCAGUUGGCAAGAUUUAAAAAUUCAGAAAAUGGAGUUCCCUGGUGGCACAGUGGGUAAUGACCUGGAGUUGUCACUACUGUGGCUCUGGUAACUGCUAUGGCGAGGAUUUGAUCCCUGGCCCUGGAAAUUCUACAUGCUGCAGGUAUGACCCCCCUCCCCCCAAAAAAAAAUAUAUAUAUAUAUCAGAGAGUACACAUCAGAAUUCAGGUUUACAGUUUCUUUUUUUAAUCUGAAUAUUCCUGCAUGGCAGCAAUUGUGCAGUGUGGCGUAGAUGCAGCCCUUUAGGCUAGGAGCUGUCUCCCCAGCCUCUGUCCUUCCCACCAUUAUAACUCAUCUUCUUAAUGUGUUACUCAGUGGCUCUGCCAAGGACCUGAUUCAUUUAACAAAUCUUAUGCCAGGUACUGUGCUGGGAACUAGCACAAAACAGACUAGUGAGAUAUGCAAACCAUAACAGCAGAACCCAGGAGCUCUAGCAGAUAUAGACAAAGGGCUGUGGGAAUCCAGAGAUGGGAAAGACCAGUAGCCUAACAGAAAUCACACCUAUCAUGCAUCGAGUGCUUACUACAUGCCAAGCAUUUUGCCUGCCUGAGGAAUCACUGAUGGAUUCUCAAGAAGGCCUCCCUUCAAGAAUAAGAAAAGUAUCAGCUAGAGAGAGAUGUUUCAGACAGCAUCGCAUAUUCAAAGGCUUGUAAACAAGGCAAGUGUGUUCAGUGAAGGAAUAAAAACUGUGAUGUGGUUGCAGCCUGAGUUGCAUGAGUGGCUGGGACAAGAGAAGGAGCUAUAAACUAAGUUUGGGACUAGAGUGGGCCUGAGCUCUAUCUUCUGAUGACCAAUGGUAAGCCAUCCAGAUUUCAGCUGGCUGCUCAUGGCCCUUCCUGAGGGCAGGCUUAAAUAGAAGUAAGGGCUCAAGGAUCCUGAAAAGGAGGAGGGGCAAAGGCAUGGAGCCACUGCUCUGUCUGGACCUUUGGGAAAGGAUGCUGCUGUGAAUUCACCCUAGGCUGGUCCCUACCAUCCCUCAUCCAACUCUCCUAUAAAGUAUGUUCAGGGAAUUCAGAGUUGCGUAUAUAUUAGUCUGAGUCCAACAUGAUAAGGAAGGUAAAGCCAGUGCCAAACAUACUGACAAUGCAUUUGAAACUGGAUGUGAUCCCUUUCCCUCUGUCUUGGAGUUGAUCAUACCCCCCAUCAGAACAGAUGUUUGAGUCUUUGUAAAUGGCUAAGAAUGUACAUCUCUCCACUCAAAGCCGUGCUUAAAAUACUUUUCAUAAAUAUGUGCUUUCAUCAUUGCUCCUUCUAGCAUUUUCUCUAUUUUUUCUUAAAUCUUUCUUUGUGAAUCACUUCUUUUUUGGCAACACCCCUUCACACUAAUAUGCAAAGGGGGUCACAGAGCAGGUCUGGGGGCACUUUGCCAUGCAGAUUAUUUAGGAAAAGCAACACGAGAGCCCUUUGGGAAAUUCUCGCAUGUAACUAAAUCAGAAAGUAAUAUCCUGUUUUGUCUGCACUCUUCACUAGUCCUCAUGUGUCCUCUAGAGGAAUCCUGGAGUUUCUCCCCGCUGGCCUGGCUGAAAGAUAAACAAACCUCUGGCUCCCAGCCGGACCCUAGAGCCGUCCUAGGGAAUUACACUGAAAACAAAGUGUUGUCAACAAUGAACCAAAAAGAUGGAAACAAAACCUUAAAUUUCAAUUCUUGGAGCAGAAAUUUUGAGUUCUGCAUGAAGGACAAGUAUUUAUAUCAAGAGUAAAUAGUUGACUCAAAUUUUUCAUUUAUGAAGGUCUGUUUUUUAGCUUCCAGUACUUUCAAGAACUUUCCAGAAUACUCGCUGUCAAUAUCAAGCAGUUGAGAGAAAAUAUAAGAGCAAAAAUCCACUGGUAAUUCAGCAAGCAUUUUUAAAGAAUUUUAAUUCUAAUAUGUAUCUGCCCAUUGAAAAUGGCAACACACAUACAUGUGAAACAUCUCUCUUCUGCUUGGUCUGAAGCAUUGUGGUCAAUUACUUAGAAAGCAUUUUGAUCAUGGAGACCUUUGCAGGAUUUUUCUUUUCCACACUCCAUCCACAACAGGAGUCCUCCACCUACAGAUUGAAAAUCACCAUGACUCAGAAGAAACAGCAAGGGUACAAUGUUACAAUGUUUUGUGUUUCUUUUAGGUUUGUUUUUCUGUUGUGUCAAAGAACAGAAUUCACUGUGAUCUCCAUAGAAAACUAUUGGGCUGUGGUGAAAGUCCUGUAACACUGUGCUUUCUGUCUGCCUCCCUCCUGUCUGAGAUAUGAGUCUCCCCAAAGGGUAGGAAAUUUUGAACGUCUCUAUUAUCAUUGACUUCAUCCUUGGAUAGUCUUGUUUUAGGGUCUGUGGUGCCAUGCUUAGCACUGAAUAUGAAUAAAGAGCUGAUAUCACUUUCAGGAGCUGGUAUUCCAGGAAGGAUCAGGACUUAUUAUAAGAAGAAACAUAGGAAGGAGUUCCCAUUGUGGCACAGCAGAAAUGAAUCUGACUAGUAUCCAUGAGGAUGCAGGUUUGUUCCCUUGCCUUGCUCAGUGGGUCGGGGAUCCAGCUUUGCUGUGAGCUGUGGUGUAGGUCAGAGAUGCAGCCCGAGUCCCACAUUGCUGUGACUGUGGCAUAGGCUGGCAGCUGUGCGCUGAUUAAACCCCUAGCCUGGGAACAUUCAUGUGCCUCAGGUGCGGCCCUAG
This 6826-nucleotide long non-coding RNA is filed under the name Sus scrofa (pig). RNAcentral's name for it is "lncRNA (ENSSSCG00000057221.1)". Lineage: Eukaryota; Metazoa; Chordata; Mammalia; Artiodactyla; Suidae. The record is from RNAcentral.